UCUGGGUCCAACCUCCCACCCGUGUCUAUCGUACCUUGUUGCUUCGGCGGGCCCGCCGUUUCGACGGCCGCCGGGGAGGCCUCGCGCCCCCGGGCCCGCGCCCGCCGAAGACCCCAACAUGAACGCUGUUCUGAAAGUAUGCAGUCUGAGUUGAUUAUCAUAAUCAGUUAAAACUUUCAACAACGGAUCUCUUGGUUCCGGCAUCGAUGAAGAACGCAGCGAAAUGCGAUAAGUAAUGUGAAUUGCAGAAUUCAGUGAAUCAUCGAGUCUUUGAACGCACAUUGCGCCCCCUGGUAUUCCGGGGGGCAUGCCUGUCCGAGCGUCAUUGCUGCCCUCAAGCACGGCUUGUGUGUUGGGCCCCGUCCCCUCCCCCGGGGACGGGCCCGAAAGGCAGCGGCGGCACCGCGUCCGGUCCUCGAGCGUAUGGGGCUUUGUCACCCGCUCUGUAGGCCCGGCCGGCGCCAGCCGACACCCAACUUUAUUUUCUAAGGUUGACCUCGGAUCAGGUAGGGAUACCCGC
This 520-nucleotide ribosomal RNA is filed under the name Aspergillus lentulus. Its description in RNAcentral is "eukaryotic LSU rRNA". The stretch from base 172 to 325 matches the Rfam family "5.8S ribosomal RNA". The record is from RNAcentral. Lineage: Eukaryota; Fungi; Ascomycota; Eurotiomycetes; Eurotiales; Aspergillaceae.